UCAUGCAAGUCGAACGGACGUUUUCGGACGUUAGUGGCGGACGGGUGAGUAACGCAUGAGAAUCUGCCUUCAGGUUGGGGACAACAGUUGGAAACGACUGCUAAUACCCAAUGUGCCGAGAGGUGAAAGCUUUAGUGCCUGAGGAUGAGCUCGCGUCUGAUUAGCUAGUUGGAGUGGUAAUGGCACACCAAGGCGACGAUCAGUAGCUGGUCUGAGAGGAUGAUCAGCCACACUGGGACUGAGACACGGCCCAGACUCCUACGGGAGGCAGCAGUGGGGAAUUUUCCGCAAUGGGCGCAAGCCUGACGGAGCAAGACCGCGUGAGGGAGGAAGGCUCUUGGGUUGUAAACCUCUUUUAUCAGGGAAGAAGAUCUGACGGUACCUGAUGAAUCAGCAUCGGCUAACUCCGUGCCAGCAGCCGCGGUAAUACGGAGGAUGCAAGCGUUAUCCGGAUUUAUUGGGCGUAAAGCGUCCGCAGGUGGUUUUUCAAGUCUGCUGUUAAAGCGCGAGGCUUAGCCUCGUAACGGCGGUGGAAACUGAGAGACUAGAGUAUGGUAGGGGUAGCGGGAAUUCCCAGUGUAGCGGUGAAAUGCGUAGAUAUUGGGAAGAACACCAGCGGCGAAAGCGCGCUACUGGGCCAUAACUGACACUCAUGGACGAAAGCUAGGGGAGCGAAAGGGAUUAGAUACCCCUGUAGUCCUAGCUGUAAACGAUGGAUACUAGGUGUUGCCCGUAUCGACCCGGGCAGUGCCGUAGCUAACGCGUUAAGU
RNAcentral lists this ribosomal RNA (770 nucleotides) under uncultured Oscillatoriales cyanobacterium. RNAcentral describes it as "bacterial SSU rRNA". It matches the Rfam family "Bacterial small subunit ribosomal RNA", at positions 53 to 865 of the family's 1533-position model. The record is from RNAcentral. Lineage: Bacteria; Bacillati; Cyanobacteriota; Cyanophyceae; Oscillatoriales.